GUUGUCCAAUUUUCUGUUUGAAAUUUUCCUUCUCUCUUCUGAGUUUGGAAUCUAGAGCCAUGUGUAUACAUCUUCAUUCAUUGUAAGUCUCUAUGAUCUAUAUUUCAAAAAUUUCUCAAAUAUGGAUUGGUGUGUGUUCUUUGGAUAGAAGUCACCAUAAAUUUGAAACUUACAUGAUUUUGUAGGAAAUGGCUGAAUUGGCUCCUGUUAUGCUGUCACCAGAAUUACACAUUUACUCUUGUAAUGAAAUGACAACUUUUAUGAUUAUCUUUUCACUCUAACUUGAUGUUUCAUAGCACAACUGUCAUAAGUUGCUUACAAAAUCUUUUGCUUAUUUUUGAGUGUAAAUUGUUGAAGUAUUUCCAUAUUUAGUUACAGGAAGUGUUUUGGAGCCCCUCAAACCAGAUUAUUGAUUCCUUUCUGCAAUUUUAUAUGGCAGUUGAUUGUGUACAAUAACACAAGGUAUUAGUAUUACAUUUUUAUAUAGUAAUCAACCUUUGAAGAAUACAAUUGACCUAGCUAGUUUGUUUUUAUGUCAAAUUAAGUCUGGUGACGCUGGUAAGCUGCAAUUUCCGCUGUACAAAAUGAUUCUGCUUUGUUACUUAAUUUUAUUGUAAACUGUCACAACUUCAAGAAUAGUGGCUAUCUAAAAAGCUGUCAGUAGCUGAAACCUCUCAAGCCUGGUGCGCACAUAUACCUCGUCUUCUAACAACUAAUAGAAUUGCAUGCAUUUUAGUAAUAUGUAAGAUUUAAAUCUGCAAAUCACUCUUUGGGGUUCGAUAUACUUGGUAUAUAGAUCACUUCUAUAAGUUACAGAUAUGAGGACAAUGAAAAGACAAUGAAUGUCUGCAGUGGAGCUACAUUAGAACAGUGAAUCUUGGAGACCACUAAGACAGGACUUCUGCAGAAUUUGGACAAGUCAGCAUAACUAAAGAAUGGCAAGGCAGGUGCAAGAGCCGCAUCAAGAGGAAGGAAGAACAGGAAAUGCUGUGCUAUUAGGAAACUUCGUUAUCUAAGGCUAGCUUUGCCUUGAAUGACAGCUGAAGUAUGGAAGAGAGUCUAGCAAGAGCCUACAACCUAUGGAACCAACUCAGCCAUAGCUACUAGAAGGGUCAUCAGGGCAGACUAAACACUUUAAUAAUACUAGCAGUCAAACCUGAAAGAAAAGUGCUGAGUUUAGAUUGACUAAGAAGUCGUCUUCCAUUUUUACUGUGGCAAGUUGCAUACUACGUUAAUGCUCAAUUUCUGGAAUGGUAAGAUUGAGAAAGAUGUAUGCAUCGUAACUUGAAAUUUUUUCCCAUAAUUGUAAAUUCAAGGUAUCAGUUUUGUUCAAUUAUGCAGAAUAAUGAUAGUGUUAUUGCAUCAUUUAUAACAAAAUGGUGAUUUUCCAUUGGCUGUAGUUCUCAUUUCAGACAGGCUCCUAAGAGAGCCAUGACAUGGUAAAUCCUGUUCUACUUCCACUCAACAUGUGAAACCAUGGCAUUUGAGGUUGACUGUCACACCAUAAAUAAGGAGUGGGAGCAAAGACAAGAUCUUCUGUUAGCAGUAACUGUCUGCUAAGAGUUCAGUUCAUUGUUUUUUAUUCCCUGAAUUUUAACUUGUUUAUUGCUACAGUGAUUUUGUUUUAUUGAGAGUUUAUUAAAGAUUUUUAUGUAA
This is a long non-coding RNA of Hemiscyllium ocellatum (epaulette shark), 1656 nucleotides long. RefSeq lists it as uncharacterized. The transcript has 2 exons. Lineage: Eukaryota; Metazoa; Chordata; Chondrichthyes; Orectolobiformes; Hemiscylliidae. The record is from RefSeq and is a predicted model, not a curated record.